Molecule: long non-coding RNA, 1820 nt
Organism: Dromaius novaehollandiae (emu)
Lineage: Eukaryota; Metazoa; Chordata; Aves; Casuariiformes; Dromaiidae
Source: Ensembl
CCUUAUAAUAUCAACCAUAGUCAUCAUUGCUAUGUGCAUUCAGCUUUUAGCUUGUUCUGUGACUCCGUACGUGUGCAUGGGUUUAUAAGCACACACACAUAUAUUCCAUAGUGGUGGGCCUGUUAAACUGGACAGUGAUUUCUCUACUACCAAAACAAGUAUAAUAACAUGCAUGUAGUGAUGAUAGCUAAGGUGUUUGGGGAUGGGGAUGCAUAAUAUCUUAUAAAUGUGAAGUUUUUAUCAGGCAGAGCAGAUUACUUUAAGCGUUCAAUUUCUCGGCGAUCCAAUUUUAUUAGGAUUUACUAUCAUUUGUGCUGAGCAUCCCUGGGGAAAUAAUGCUUUGAUUAAUGUAAUCCUGGGCUGGGAUCCGCCACAUGCCCCUCUCCCAAGAGAAAGGCCCUGUUUGACAAACAAAAACAGAGCAGCAACUAUUGCAAUCUGCACUCACCUUUAGAAAGCACAGACACACACACACACACACACACACACACACACACACACACACACACACACGUAAAAUAUAACCACCUCCUCCCCCUACCCCAAAGACAAUAGUGGCAUUUCAAAACAAUGUGCACUCUUAUUCAUUUGCACACAGCGCCUCUGAUUCAGUGUGGGCUGUACAGUCCAGCCCUCAUCUGCACCGAGCCAGCCCAAAAAGGCUCCUGCUCUGUUCCCCACUGAGAAGCUGAAGCAUCCCUGGGAAGCUCAAUGCCUCUCUGUAUUUCAGGCUCUCCUUGGUCUCCCAACGUCUCUGCCUCUUUGUUUCCCACUGCAGGCCUUGCUGCAAACCGAUUUCAAGUCUGCUCGUUCAAUCCACCAGAGCUAGGGGCCCAAGAAGCUUUGUCACUGCGAGCGGCUCGGUGGCCCGUACCUGCAGGCACCUGCUUCUCGACCAGGGGCCCCACUUUGUUCCACCCCCAYUGCCCGUUCUGGCUGUGUCACAGGCUGGCAGGAACAAUAGCGUUUAGACAGGUCUGGAGGAAUAAACAUACCAAGAUCAGAGAUCAACAUGCUUUCCCUUUCUUUACACCUCUAGGUGAACUGGCCGGUGUAUCCCCCUGCCUCCUUCUCCUCUUCCUCUCCCCCCAGAAUGAAGCCCACCAUGGGCAGCUGAAAUGGUGGUUCAGUGCUUUAUUUCCUCCCCCGCCAGGACACAGCAGGUCCCAAUGCACCCGAGGACACCCAGUGACAAAGGAGGGCCCUGCCUGCACUUCGGCCACUUUGCUCGAAGUCUGGACUGAUAAACCCAGGAGGAGGAGGAGGAGGGGAGGGAGCGCCAGCCGGAGACGAGGAGCGAUGCGGUUUGCGCCAGGGUUUUCGAURAGAUGCUCCCCUCCCACUCGUGUUUACCCGGUGACCCCAAUGCGGUGACUCAGCGAUUACAGGGCUCUGGGUGUCUGCGGGGGGGUGGGGGGAGCUUCCUCCCCCCCUUCCUCCUUCUUUUCUUUCCUGAUGAAAAACGAUGCAAUUACAUUUCUGCAUGCUGAUCUGAGAGUUCAAAUAACAAGCCUUAAACGCGUUAUCAGGCGCGUGUUAAAGGAGAAAGGGGGGAGGAAAGGGAAGGGGGGGAUCUAGACGUGCGUGUGUGUGCGCAUGCCGGCAUAUGUGUGUCUGCAUAUACAUAUAUACGGACGUAUAUAUGCGCUUAUAUGUGGAUGCAUAUAUAUUUAAACGGAAGCCUGCUAGAUGGGCUGCUGUGCGGCCUGAAUCCGUGCACCGAGGCAGCUGAGGGAUGAGGCUUGGUUUAAAACAACAACAACAACAACAACCGCAACAGCGAAGCAGGAGGAGGAGGAAGAGGCGCGGAUCACUCCGGG